GAUGAACGCUGGCGGCGUGCCUAAUACAUGCAAGUCGAGCGAACAGACGAGGAGCUUGCUCCUCUGACGUUAGCGGCGGACGGGUGAGUAACACGUGGCUAACCUACCUAUAAGACUGGGAUAACUUCGGGAAACCGGAGCUAAUACCGGAUAAUAUAUUGAACCGCAUGGUUCAAUAGUGAAAGACGGUUUUGCUGUCACUUAUAGAUGUAUCCGCGCCGCAUUAGCUAGUUGGUAAGGUAACGGCUUACCAAGGCAACGAUGCGUAGCCGACCUGAGAGGGUGAUCGGCCACACUGGAACUGAGACACGGUCCAGACUCCUACGGGAGGCAGCAGUAGGGAAUCUUCCGCAAUGGGCGAAAGCCUGACGGAGCAACGCCGCGUGAGUGAUGAAGGUCUUCGGAUCGUAAAACUCUGUUAUUAGGGAAGAACAAAUGUGUAAGUAACUAUGCACGUCUUGACGGUACCUAAUCAGAAAGCCACGGCUAACUACGUG
Molecule: ribosomal RNA, 497 nt
Filed under: uncultured bacterium
Lineage: Bacteria
Description: partial 16S ribosomal RNA
Rfam family: Bacterial small subunit ribosomal RNA
Source: RNAcentral